RNAcentral lists this ribosomal RNA (252 nucleotides) under uncultured bacterium. RNAcentral describes it as "partial 16S ribosomal RNA". It matches the Rfam family "Bacterial small subunit ribosomal RNA", at positions 525 to 776 of the family's 1533-position model. The record is from RNAcentral.
ACGGAGGGUGCAAGCGUUAUCCGGAUUCAUUGGGUUUAAAGGGUGCGCAGGCGGUCUAUUAAGUCAGUGGUGAAAGCCUACAGCUCAACUGUAGAACUGCCAUUGAUACUGAUAGACUUGAAUGCGGUUGAAGUGGGUGGAAUGUGUAGUGUAGCGGUGAAAUGCAUAGAUAUUACACAGAACUCCGAUUGCGAAGGCAACUCACUAAACCGUUAUUGACGCUCAGGCACGAAAGCGUGGGGAGCGAACAGG